GACGGAGGAUGCAAGCGUUUAUCCGGAAUGAUUGGGCGUAAAGCGUCCGCAGGUGGCAGUUCAAGUCUGCUGUCAAAGACCGGGGCUUAACUUCGGAAAGGCAGUGGAAACUGAACAGCUAGAGUAUGGUAGGGGCAGAGGGAAUUCCUGGUGUAGCGGUGAAAUGCGUAGAUAUCAAGAGGAACACCUGAGGUGAAGACGGGUUGCUGGGCUGAUACUGACGCUGAGGCGCGAAAGCUAGGGUAGCAAACGGG
Molecule: ribosomal RNA, 254 nt
Filed under: uncultured bacterium
Lineage: Bacteria
Description: partial 16S ribosomal RNA
Rfam family: Bacterial small subunit ribosomal RNA
Source: RNAcentral